AUGCAGUCGAGCGAGAAGGGACUUCGGUCCUGAGUAAAGCGGCGGACGGGUGAGCAAUACGUAGGUAACCUGCCUUUCAGUGGGGGACAACGGUCCGAAAGGACCGCUAAUACCGCAUCCGUCGCUCGGGACUCCGGUCCUGAGCGGGAAAGCCGGGGCAACCUGGCGCUGGAAGAGGGGCCUACGUCGCAUCAGCUAGUUGGUAGGGUAAUGGCCUACCAAGGCGAAGACGCGUAGCUGGUCUGAGAGGAUGAUCAGCCACACUGGGACUGAGACACGGCCCAGACUCCUACGGGAGGCAGCAGUGGGGAAUAUUGGACAAUGGGCGCAAGCCUGAUCCAGCCACGCCGCGUGAGUGAUGAAGGCCUUCGGGUCGUAAAGCUCUGUGGGGAGGGACGAACCGCCGAUGGUUAAUACCCAUCGGCAUGGCGGUACCUCCUUAGCAAGCACCGGCUAACUUCGUGCCAGCAGCCGCGGUAAUACGAGGGGUGCAAACGUUGCUCGGAAUCAUUGGGCGUAAAGCGCACGUAGGCGGCUUCGCAAGUCGGAUGUGAAAUCCCUCGGCUCAACCGAGGACGUGCACCCGAAACUGCGGAGCUUGAGUACUGAAGAGGAUCGCGGAAUUCCCGGUGUA
This 634-nucleotide ribosomal RNA is filed under the name uncultured Kofleriaceae bacterium. Its description in RNAcentral is "bacterial SSU rRNA". It matches the Rfam family "Bacterial small subunit ribosomal RNA", at positions 55 to 677 of the family's 1533-position model. The record is from RNAcentral. Lineage: Bacteria; Pseudomonadati; Myxococcota; Haliangiales; Kofleriaceae.